CUAGCGUCGCGCGUUAACCCCGGGAGGUAGAGCACCGGAUCGAUGAGGGGGCUUCGCCGCCUACCGAUUCGAACCGAACUCCGAAUGCCCGAGGGUCUAGAGCGCGGCAGUCAGAACAUGUGGGCUAAGCUGUGUGUUCGAGAGGGAAACAGCCCAGACCGCCCGCUAAGGUCCCUAAUUCAGAGCCGAGUGGCAAAGGAU
RNAcentral lists this ribosomal RNA (201 nucleotides) under Acinetobacter baumannii. Its description in RNAcentral is "partial 23S ribosomal RNA". It matches the Rfam family "Bacterial large subunit ribosomal RNA", at positions 876 to 1074 of the family's 2925-position model. The record is from RNAcentral. Lineage: Bacteria; Pseudomonadati; Pseudomonadota; Gammaproteobacteria; Moraxellales; Moraxellaceae.